CUGGAAGGUCUCUUGUGAAAUGGACUGCUGAAGACAGUGUUUUUCUCGCGAGCAAAGUGAAGCCAAAACUCAACGUUCAUGAGACAUUCCGAAAUAAGAUGAUAAGCGUAAAAGAAAACUCGCCAUUGAAUCUGGUGUGCAAGGUGGAUGAAGGAAAUCCAUCACCAACCAUUCGGUGGAAAUACAGAAACGAGAAGCAUGGAUCCGGAUGGAGUGACGUUACUGCACGCCUCAGGACUGCCGUUAUUGUACGCAAAAACACAUUGCGCGUGAACGGGCAAAUGGUUUGCAGGAUGCUGUAUAAAUGUGUGGCAAACAACAGUCUCGGAGUUGAUGCAUUCACUUGGGAUGUUUUAAACGGAACAAACAGAGAAGAUAGCAUAGAAUGGAAAAAAAAAGCAAUUACACGAAGUUAUGAACGAUACUCUGGAGAAUGGUACACGUUCGAUUGUAGCGUGAAUAACCCUCACGUUAAUGUGACACUUUGGCAAACAACUCUUGAUGGUUCGAAAACAAAACGAAUCGUUGA
This is a long non-coding RNA of Dendronephthya gigantea, 529 nucleotides long. RefSeq lists it as uncharacterized. The record is from RefSeq and is a predicted model, not a curated record. The transcript is spliced from 3 exons. NCBI's taxonomy places the organism in Eukaryota, Metazoa, Cnidaria, Anthozoa, Malacalcyonacea, Nephtheidae.